Molecule: long non-coding RNA, 748 nt
Organism: Sciurus carolinensis (gray squirrel)
Lineage: Eukaryota; Metazoa; Chordata; Mammalia; Rodentia; Sciuridae
Exons: 6
Source: RefSeq, a predicted model, not a curated record
UGGAAGAAAUGAAUGUGCUGAGGUGGAAUGGUGCCCAAGCUCCAUGACUCACCUGAUUGGCAGAUCUGGGAAGCCUGGGUGGUGGUGUUUGCUGCAGCAGCCUCACCCACAGAGUCUCACCAAGAAGAAUGUUGCAGCAUGGGCUGAGUCAGCCAGAAGAAACAGAUGCUGGCCAUCUGAAUGAGGCUGGUCCUGAUGAUAAAUACAGGCCCAUGAGUACACUUCCCUCCAUCCUCCUGGCUAUGGAGAGAGCAGACCUUGUCAGAGGAAGUGAGAUCCAGCCUCCUGCUGUGGACUACAGCCUCAAGCCUGGUCACUAAGCAAAGUCAGUCCCCCUGGAUCCAUGUGGCAGCGUCAUUGGCCAGCUAUCCUCCCAGUUUCCCAGAGCCAUGACAGAAUGGCCAACUCUUAAUUUUGGGUGGCCUCCAGAAGGCACCUUCGACCUGAUCAUCAUCAAGGACACUGAAGACAUCAUUGUCAAGCCUCGCACAGGUCACCCAAACCAAGUGCCUUACAUUGUGGUUUGGCGGAACCUCAUUGAAAACGCUCCUCCCUGGCUUAAACCUUUCUUACCUCAACAGGUUCUCUUCACCACAGAAGAAAGGGACCGCAUCCAAAUGGAGGCCCGGAAGCUAGUCCCAGGACUUACUGGAGAGCCAAGUACCAAUCAGACUCUCAUCAAUGCAGAUUCCCCCUUGACCCACCCCAACUGGGAUUAUAAUAUGGUGGAAGGUAAGGAGAGCUUCCU